UGGCUCGGAGUAAGAAAACAGAA
Molecule: non-coding RNA, 23 nt
Filed under: Cricetulus griseus (Chinese hamster)
Lineage: Eukaryota; Metazoa; Chordata; Mammalia; Rodentia; Cricetidae
Source: RNAcentral